CGAAUCUUAAUGCAACAUCGAGGUCGCAAACUUGUUCAUCGAUAUGAACUCUCCGAAAAAAUUACGCUGUUAUCCCUAAGGUUAAGUUAAUCUUAUAAUCCAAAAAUUCUGGAUCAUAAAAACAUUAAUCUAUGAAAUAAUUAAUAAAAGUUAAAUAAAUUUUAAUGUCACCCCAACAAAACUUUUUAUUAAAUAAAAAUAAAAAAACAAAAAAAUAAAUAAUUAUAUAAAAAAAGUUAACUUCUAUAGGGUCUUCUCGUCCUAUAAAAAAAUUUCAGCUUUUUAACUAAAAAAUUAAAUUAAAUUAAAUUAAAAUAAGAAAGACUGUAUUUCAUCAAACCAUUCAUUCUAGCCUCCAAUUAAAAGACAAAUGAUUAUGCUACCUUCGUACAGNUNAAAUACCGCAUCCUUUUAAUAUCU
This 420-nucleotide ribosomal RNA is filed under the name Rheumatogonus luzonicus. RNAcentral describes it as "16S ribosomal RNA". The record is from RNAcentral. Lineage: Eukaryota; Metazoa; Arthropoda; Insecta; Hemiptera; Gerridae.